This 441-nucleotide ribosomal RNA is filed under the name uncultured bacterium. RNAcentral's name for it is "bacterial SSU rRNA". It matches the Rfam family "Bacterial small subunit ribosomal RNA", at positions 339 to 796 of the family's 1533-position model. The record is from RNAcentral.
AUACGGGAGGCAGCAGUAGGGAAUAUUGCAUAAUGGGCGCAAGCCUGAUGCAGCAACGCCGCGUGCGCGAUGAAGGCCUUCGGGUCGUAAAGCGCUUUUCAGAGGGAUGAGGAAGGACAGUACCUCUGGAAUAAGUCUCGGCUAACUACGUGCCAGCAGCCGCGGUAAAACGUAGGAGGCAAGCGUUAUCCGGAUUUACUGGGCGUAAAGCGCGUGCAGGCGGUUUGGCAAGUUGGAUGUGAAAGCUCCCGGCUCAACUGGGAGAGGUCGUUCAAAACUGCCAGACUUGAGGAUGGUAGAGGGAGGUGGAAUUCCGGGUGUAGUGGUGAAAUGCGUAGAUAUCCGGAGGAACACCAGUGGCGAAAGCGGCCUCCUGGACCAUUUCUGACGCUCAGACGCGAAAGCUAGGGGAGCAAACGGGAUUAGAUACCCUAGUAGUCC